Molecule: unclassified non-coding RNA, 1420 nt
Filed under: Hevea brasiliensis (rubber tree)
Lineage: Eukaryota; Viridiplantae; Streptophyta; Magnoliopsida; Malpighiales; Euphorbiaceae
Source: RNAcentral
AAAAAAAAAAAAAAAAAAAGGCAAUCUAUUUUGUCACUUAAUCUAUUUUGUCACUUAUACGAAUAAAGUAUUAUGAUUAUUAAAAACUCAACGGGACCCCCUCGAAUCAGACAGAGAAAAGAGGGGGUCCAUUGAGUUCUUACGUUUUUAUGUCUACAACUCAGUUCACCCGAUUACUUACAGGGAUGAACCCAAUCCGGAAUAUGAACCAUAAAAGAAAAUGCCUAUUAAACCGAUCACAAGAAUACCAGUUACAGUACCUACUAUCCAAAGAGGAAUUCUUCCAGUAGUAUCGGCCAUUUAUCCCACUUCCCUCCACAUUUAAUCAAGUGGUCAUGCUAGAGACAUAAACAGUCAUAGAUAAUUAUGAGAUGAUAUCCUUCCGAUGGGAUAAGAGAAUUCCUAUUCUUAUUUAUUUUAUUAUUCUACUAUUUUCUUUUCUUCUAUUAAUUGAAGAAAUAAUUAGAAAAUAAAACAGCAAGUACAAAAAUGAGUAAUAACCCCCAGUAGAGACUGGUACGAUUCAAUUCAACAUUUUGUUCGUUCGGAUUUGAUUGUGUCAUAGUUCUAUAAUUAAUUGGGAUUAGAUUUAUCGUUGGAUGAACUGCAUUGCUGAUAUUGACCCCAAAAAAAAAACGGUAGGUACAGCUAGUCCGUGAACAGCCAACCAUCGUACUGUAAAAAUUGGAUAGGUUCGAUCUAUGGUCAUUGGGCCUCCUAAAAAGAUUUACUAAAUUCAUCGAGUUGUUCCAAAGAAUCAAAACGGCCAGUUAUUAAUGGAAUUCCUUGUCGGCUUUCGGUAAAAUAUUCAUUUGGACGAGGGCUUCCAAAUACAUCGUAAGCUAAACCCGUGCUGACGAAUAACCAACCUGCAAUGAAUAGGGAAGGUAUAGUAAUGCUAUGAAUGACCCAAUAUCGAAUACUGGUAAUAAUAUCAGCAAAAGAACGUUCUCCUGUGCUUCCAGACAUACUGAGCUCCACAUAUUCUUGUACAAUCAAAAGGGAUCGAUUCUGUAAAAGAUGAGAUCAGUAAAUGAAAUUUCACCGAAAUUUCAUCUUUGUGAGAUCGUCAAUAUUGUACCAAGGGUUUAUUUAAAGUAUACCGAAUCAGUAUAGCUAUCCUUCUUCUAACACAGCAACGCAACUUCAAUCAGUAUUGAAAUGAAGUCCUAGAUAAUCUCUUUCUUCUUUUAUUUUUCUUGUUGCUGUAGAACUGUAUAAGAUCAGGUAAAAUGCGAAUUCGGUGGGUUGCAAUAAUAAUUUAUGAAGGAGAUUAUCAUAUUUCCGCAAUUCAAUUAGAUGUGAAAUCUAAAACUUUUGUGGUUAUAGAAGAAGGGUUUUUUUUUGGAAUCCCCCUUUUUCAUUUUAAGGAAUUGGUUAGUCAUCCAUUAACAAGUACCAGUAGUAGAGAAUAUUCGAU